This 65-nucleotide transfer RNA is filed under the name Cucujus sp. MJ-2020. Its description in RNAcentral is "tRNA-Ile". The record is from RNAcentral. Lineage: Eukaryota; Metazoa; Arthropoda; Insecta; Coleoptera; Cucujidae.
AAUGAAGUGCCUGAUUAAAGGAUUAUUUUGAUAGAAUACCUCAUACUUGUACAAAGUCUUCAUUA